UUGUGAUGUCCAGUUUAAGCAGGAAGUGGCAUAUCAGCAUACUCACUUCCUUGCUGGGGAGGAGCUUCUGAACCAGGAAGAGUCUUUCUCUACACUCCUACAUGGCUGUUCCCAAAGUCUAGCCCAGCCCAUACUUGGUAGAGAAAGCAGAGAAGCAGAGGGACCUAUUUUUCCCCUGAAAGUAUGGUCUCUUCCUUGCCUAAGGGGUUGGUCAGAGCAAUAUUCCCUGAAAGCUGGUAGAGGGCCCUAACCUACCCCCUGUCCUCUUCUGA
RNAcentral lists this long non-coding RNA (272 nucleotides) under Bos taurus (domestic cattle). RNAcentral describes it as "long non-coding RNA NONBTAT001485". Lineage: Eukaryota; Metazoa; Chordata; Mammalia; Artiodactyla; Bovidae. The record is from RNAcentral.